This 460-nucleotide ribosomal RNA is filed under the name uncultured bacterium. RNAcentral's name for it is "partial 16S ribosomal RNA". It matches the Rfam family "Bacterial small subunit ribosomal RNA", at positions 338 to 795 of the family's 1533-position model. The record is from RNAcentral.
GCUACGGGGGGCAGCAGUGAGGAAUAUUGGUCAAUGGCCGUAAGGCUGGACCAGCCAAGUAGCGUGAGGGAAGACUGCCCUAUGGGUUGUAAACCUCUUUUAUGCGGGGAUAAAGGUGUCCACGUGUGGAUGUUUGCAGGUACCGCAUGAAUAAGGACCGGCUAAUUCCGUGCAAGCAGCCGCGGUAAUACGGAAGGUCCGGGCGUUAUCCGGAUUUAGUGGGUUUAAAGGGAGCGUAGGCCGUUCUUUAAGCGUGCCGUGAAAUUUUGAGGCUCAACCAUGAGAGUGCGGCGCGAACUGGAGACCGUGAGUGCGCGGAAGGCAGGCGGAAUUCGUGGUGUAGCGGUGAAAUGCUUAGAUAUCACGAAGAACCCCGAUUGCGAAGGCAGCCUGCCGCAGCGUUACUGACGCUGAAGCUCGAAAGCGCGGGUAUCGAACAGGAUUAGAUACCCCUGUAGUC